This 396-nucleotide ribosomal RNA is filed under the name Cryomonadida sp. Its description in RNAcentral is "partial small subunit ribosomal RNA". It matches the Rfam family "Eukaryotic small subunit ribosomal RNA", at positions 582 to 975 of the family's 1831-position model. The record is from RNAcentral. Lineage: Eukaryota; Cercozoa; Thecofilosea; Cryomonadida.
AUUCCAGCUCCAGUAGCGUAUAUUAAAGUUGGUGCAGUUAAAAAGCUCGUAGUUGGAUUUCUGGCUUUAUAGAACUGACCCGCCACGUUAGUGUGUGAGUGUCGGCUUCUAUAUGCCAUCCUUCCAGAGAACACUUCUACCAUUUAUUUGGACGGAUGUUGUCUUCUGGAUCUUUUACUUUGAAAAAAUUAGAGUGUUUAAAGCAGGCCUUUGCUGUGAAUACAUUAGCAUGGAAUAAUAAUCUAGGACUUCGGUUCUAUUUUGUUGGUUUCUAGUACUGAAGUAAUGAUUGAUAGGGAUAGUUGGGGGUGCUAGUAUUGGCCGGCCAGAGGUGAAAUUCUUGGAUUCGGUCAAGACUAACUUAUGCGAAAGCAUUCACCAAGGAUGUCUUCAUUA